RNAcentral lists this ribosomal RNA (301 nucleotides) under uncultured bacterium. RNAcentral's name for it is "partial 16S ribosomal RNA". It matches the Rfam family "Bacterial small subunit ribosomal RNA", at positions 509 to 807 of the family's 1533-position model. The record is from RNAcentral.
CAGCAGCCGCGGUAAUACAGAGGGUGCGAGCGUUAAUCGGAUUUACUGGGCGUAAAGCGUGCGUAGGCGGCUUCUUAAGUCGGAUGUGAAAUCCCUGAGCUUAACUUAGGAAUUGCAUUCGAUACUGGGAAGCUAGAGUAUGGGAGAGGAUGGUAGAAUUCCAAGUGUAGCGGUGAAAUGCGUAGAGAUCUGGAGGAAUACCGAUGGCGAAGGCAGCCAUCUGGCCUAAUACUGACGCUGAGGUACGAAAGCAUGGGGAGCAAACAGGAUUAGAUACCCCAGUAGUCCCUGUCUCUUAUAC